RNAcentral lists this ribosomal RNA (530 nucleotides) under uncultured bacterium. Its description in RNAcentral is "bacterial SSU rRNA". It matches the Rfam family "Bacterial small subunit ribosomal RNA", at positions 775 to 1302 of the family's 1533-position model. The record is from RNAcentral.
AGUCAAUAGAUACCCAGGUAGUCCACGCCGUAAACGAUGUCGACUUGGAGGUUGUGCCCUUGAGGCGUGGCCUCCGGAGCUAAACGCGUUAAGUCGACCGCCUGGGGAGUACGGCCGCAAGGUUAAAACUCAAAUGAAUUGACGGGGGCCCGCACAAGCGGUGGAGCAUGUGGUUUAAUUCGAUGCAACGCGAAGAACCUUACCUACUCUUGACAUCCAGAGAACUUAGCAGAGAUGCUUUGGUGCCUUCGGGAACUCUGAGACAGGUGCUGCAUGGCUGUCGUCAGCUCGUGUUGUGAAAUGUUGGGUUAAGUCCCGCAACGAGCGCAACCCUUAUCCUUUGUUGCCAGCGGUUAGGCCGGGAACUCAAAGGAGACUGCCAGUGAUAAACUGGAGGAAGGUGGGGAUGACGUCAAGUCAUCAUGGCCCUUACGAGUAGGGCUACACACGUGCUACAAUGGCGCAUACAAAGAGAAGCGACCUCGCGAGAGCAAGCGGACCUCAUAAAGUGCGUCGUAGUCCGGAUUGGA